GUAUUUGUGGUUCAGUGGUAGAAUUCUCACCUUCCAUGUGGGAGACACUGUUCAAUUCCCAGUCAAUGCA
Molecule: transfer RNA, 70 nt
Organism: Loxodonta africana (African savanna elephant)
Lineage: Eukaryota; Metazoa; Chordata; Mammalia; Proboscidea; Elephantidae
Rfam family: tRNA
About the family: Transfer RNA (tRNA) molecules are approximately 80 nucleotides in length. Their secondary structure includes four short double-helical elements and three loops (D, anti-codon, and T loops). Further hydrogen bonds mediate the characteristic L-shaped molecular structure. tRNAs have two regions of fundamental functional importance: the anti-codon, which is responsible for specific mRNA codon recognition, and the 3' end, to which the tRNAs corresponding amino acid is attached (by aminoacyl-tRNA synthetases). tRNAs cope with the degeneracy of the genetic code in two manners: having more than one tRNA (with a specific anti-codon) for a particular amino acid; and 'wobble' base-pairing, i.e. permitting non-standard base-pairing at the 3rd anti-codon position.
Source: Rfam